UAACGCGAAGAACCUUACCAAGGCUUGACAUGAACCGGUAACGCCUGGAAACAGGUGCCCCGCUUGCGGUCGGUUUACAGGUGGUGCAUGGUUGUCGUCAGCUCGUGUCGUGAGAUGUUGGGUUAAGUCCCGCAACGAGCGCAACCCUCGUUCCAUGUUGCCAGCACGUCGUGGUGGGGACUCAUGGGAGACUGCCGGGGUCAACUCGGAGGAAGGUGGGGACGACGUCAAAUCAUCAUGCCCCUUAUGUCUUGGGCUUCACGCAUGCUACAAUGGCCGGUACAAAGGGUUGCGAUACUGUGAGGUGGAGCUAAUCCCAAAAAGCCGGUCUCAGUUCGGAUUGGGGUCUGCAACUCGACCCCAUGAAGUCGGAGUCGCUAGUAAUCGCAGAUCAGCAACGCUGCGGUGAAUACGUUCCCGGGUCUUGUACACACCGA
Molecule: ribosomal RNA, 437 nt
Filed under: uncultured bacterium
Lineage: Bacteria
Description: bacterial SSU rRNA
Rfam family: Bacterial small subunit ribosomal RNA
Source: RNAcentral